This is a long non-coding RNA of Papaver somniferum (opium poppy), 1538 nucleotides long. RefSeq lists it as uncharacterized. Lineage: Eukaryota; Viridiplantae; Streptophyta; Magnoliopsida; Ranunculales; Papaveraceae. The transcript is spliced from 6 exons. The record is from RefSeq and is a predicted model, not a curated record.
AAUUGCCUUUUCUUUUCGAAUCAUUUGAUUCAUUUCUGAUUUUGCUCUUGGGUUGGUGGGGUUAGGUUCACCUCGAACAGAACCAGCUCCUGCUCCGCCAUUAACAAUUUUGAGAAGAACCGGUCUUCAUCUCGAUCGACUUCAGCUCAACUUUUAGGUGUUGAUUUUAAAAUCAAGAUGUUCACAAUUGGUGGGAAGAAGCUUAAGCUAAUAAUUUGGGACACAGUUAGUCUAUGGUGUGAAAGCGGGAAACAUGUACAAACUUUUCAGUUUGUAUAGCGCAUCUCUUUUUAAAACAAACUUUGCAUUACAAACUGAAACAGGGCAGUGAAGGACAGAAGGAGAGCAAAAACAUUCCCAAUAAUAAAAGAUACGUUGAAGGGUCUAUGAAGGACAGUUUAACCUCGUAAAACAGUCAAUCAAGUAUGCCAUGGAGUACAUGCCUAAACCUUGUGGCGGAUGUCACCAAGCCAGUUGGGAGGCCUUUUUAGGGGAAGAUUCAGUGUACAGGGCUGUAGGUCCUUUUGGUAAAGAAAAAGAAGUAUCGCUUUCCUCCACACAAUUUGUCGACGAAGUCGACAAACAAACAGUGUUCAUGGAGUGGCUGUAUGAAAAGAGGUGCUGUUGGAGCAAAAGAGUUUACUAAGUUCCGGGUGAAUGAGUUUGUUUUCUCUAAGUAUCAUGAAGAAAAAGUUAAUCGCUCAAGACAGUGGUUUUUGCAUGGCCGCAGACACCACAUGUAGGAGCAAGAAAGCCGAUGGGCCACAACGGUUGAUGCGCGGAGUUGGUGAUUUGGAGAAACCCAAAAUCGGCGGUUUCCAACAUCUAAUGGUAGAUGAAACCAACUUCCUUUCUUGGUGGCGAGAAAACAGUGGUGUCUGUCAGUUACACUGCCUUGGAAGUUAUCCGAGAGCUUCAGAAGCACUUCCCCAUCAAAAGAGCUCCAAUGAGUUUAAGGCUCAUCAUACCUGAAGAGAGUUCUCGAUCUCCAGUCUCAUGGAAAAGCUUAAUGCAUGGAAUGCAGAAAUUGUUUCGAAAGACGAUCAUCAGCUGUCGUUGGUCUGUGAGAUUGAGCCUAGUUUUCACCUAGACUGUGAUGCUUUGGUUAGGAACCUACAUGGUAGGUAAGCAAUACUUGCCGGAUCAGUGCACUUUGAGAAGGAUACCAACGUCGACCACUAUGAUGAUCAUGAGGACAUCAUUGAAUCAAGUCAUCUCCCUAAAGUAUCAGUGAACACUGCGGAGUUGGAAGAGAUCAAAUUAAGUGAGGGAUUACAGAAACAGUCGAUUUCCUUGGUAAGUAAUGUUGCUGAUAAGAUAGUUUCCACUUUCCACCGUUAAUGGUGAUGCUGAUAAGAUAGUCAAAUUAAGUAUAUCUUGUUUUGUAACUAGCAGUAAGUUGUUGAAAGGAGAGGAAUGCUAAGUGGAGUCUUUAAACGGAAUUUCUGCAAAACCAAGUAUACUUGUGGACUUCGACAUUUAUUAGAUUGCUCAGUCAUGUCCAGUUUAUUGAUCAAUGUUAAGAAAAUGUUAAAUUA